CAAGACGUAGCUAUAAUGAAAGCAUUCAGCUUACACCUGAAAGAUAUCUGCUCCAUACAGGUCGUCUUGA
This 70-nucleotide transfer RNA is filed under the name Cnemotriccus fuscatus. RNAcentral describes it as "tRNA-Val". Lineage: Eukaryota; Metazoa; Chordata; Aves; Passeriformes; Tyrannidae. The record is from RNAcentral.